GAGAAUCAGCAGAACAGCCAACUGGGGCAUUACAAAAAAAAAACAAAAAAAAGAAAAGAAAGAGGAGGGUGCAAAAUCAAAAGAAAUAAAAAAAAACAAAAAGAAAGAAAAAGAAAGAAAGAAACAAAAGAGAAAUAACACCCUCAAAGUCCCAAGUUGACUGAUGUUGAAUGGAUUCGGAGUCGUUACGACCAACUGAAUCUGAUCGAAAAGAAGAGAUUAACUGCCAUGUGUCAUGGUCAGUCAUAUCAGCAGAGAAUGAA
Molecule: long non-coding RNA, 263 nt
Filed under: Lathyrus oleraceus (garden pea)
Lineage: Eukaryota; Viridiplantae; Streptophyta; Magnoliopsida; Fabales; Fabaceae
Description: Pisum sativum (pea) long non-coding RNA (PSAT_LNC027226)
Source: RNAcentral